UUUUGGGGUGAUUUUGGGCACUUUGGGACCCCCGCAGCACGUCCGGAACAGCCGCGGCUCCAACAAGUACGAGGGGUGGCCGCAGGCGCUGGAGCUCGGCGGCUGCGUCCCCCAGCGGCCCCCGGGGUGACCCCAAAAACCGGGGGGACCCCAAAACAUCCCGGGGGGACCCCAAAACAUCCCGGGGGGACCCCAAAACCCGGGGGGACCCCAAAACAUCCCGGGGGGACCCCAAAACCCGGGGGGACCCCAAAAACAUCCCGGGGGACCCUAAAAACAUCCCGGGAACCCCAAAAACGUGCCAGGGGGACCCAAAAACCCGGGGGGGACCCCAAAACAUCCCGGGGGGACCUCAAAACUCACAGAGAUCCCAAAAAACCCACAGAGACCCCUCAGGGACCCCGAAAACCCCACAGAGACCCCAAAGCACAAAGUGGGGGACCCCAAAAUACACAGGGACCCCAAAAACCCCACACAGCGACCCCAAAACUCACAGAGACCCCAAAACCUCCCGGGGGCACCCCAAAAUUCACAGAGACCCCAAAAACCCCACAGGGACCCCAAAACAUCCCAGUGGGACCCCAAAAACCCCACAGAGACCCCAAAAAACCCGCAGAGACCCCCUCAAGGACCCCAAAAUCCACAGGGGGCACCCCAAAACUCACAGAGACCCCAAAACAUCCCGGAGGUACCCCAAAACUCACAGAGACCCCAAGGGACCCCAAAACCCCCACAGAGACCCCCUCAAGGACCCCAAAAUCCACAGGGGGCACCCCAAAACUCACGGGGACGCCAAAAACCCCUCAUGGACCCCAAAAUGUCCCAGAACCCCCCAAAGCCGAGGAUUUGGGGUCCCCCCGGUCAGAUUUGGGGUUCCCUGGUCAGAUUUGGGGUCCCCCGGUCAGAUUUG
This 910-nucleotide long non-coding RNA is filed under the name Lonchura striata (white-rumped munia). Its description in RNAcentral is "domestica (Bengalese finch) lncRNA (ENSLSDG00000001190.1)". Lineage: Eukaryota; Metazoa; Chordata; Aves; Passeriformes; Estrildidae. The record is from RNAcentral.